AUACACUGAAAUUUUUUUAUAGCCCAGCUACACAAAAUUGUAUUAUAUAAAUGCAGUUGGCUGCUCUCAGUAUGUUUGGAUGGGUAACUGAAAUGUACAGAUAUAUACACUAAAAAGGUUGCAACUUGCAAGGUGGAGUGAUACAAAGAUGGUAACAAAUAUUCAAAAGGUUAUUUAUAGGGAAAAACUCACCAAUAUGGAUGCUUUCACUGGGAAAUGCUGAGGCAAUCUCUACCAGGAAGCAGUUUCCAAGAGAUGCUGCCUUAGUGGUGGUCAGCCCUUAAAUGAGGUCUAGAGGGGGUGGAGUCAAGCUCCAACCCUUCUGGGAGCACAGCUAGAUUACUGUCACCUGUGCUCCCACAGCAGAUUUUAUAUUUGCCUCAGCUGAUUAAUCAGAGGUUCAGUUCAGGCUGUGAUUACCAAUUUCUCAUACAGAGCUGAACACAGUUUUGCAGAAGUGCAUGAUCUGCUGUACAAAACUGAGAAGGGACCUGCUAGACUUCUGAACUCUGAUGAUGAUUACCGAACAGUGUACCCAAAUCAAAAUAUCCUAGGUUCCAGUCCAUCUCAUACAUGACAGAAGUUGUGGGUGCAGACUAUAAAGCACAAGCAGCACUAAGGAGGAGAAACUGGGUUGUUUGAACUAAGGAAUCCUAUCUGUACUGGAGCCUGGUCUCCUCCGUGAACACCAAGUUUUGAACACCAAGACAUCUGGCUGCUGGGAUACAGUCUAGGUUUGUCUUGUCCUGACUGCAAGCUGCUUUGGAACCCCCUGCUAUUUAGAUGGUUUCUGCUCCCCAUCCCUACACACUUAACUGUGCAGGGAAAUAUUUAGGUGGUGUUUGAGCACAGACCCCCAUGUUUUUCUUGUAUAUGUCCCUGCUU
This 885-nucleotide long non-coding RNA is filed under the name Coturnix japonica (Japanese quail). Its description in RNAcentral is "lncRNA (ENSCJPG00005019347.1)". The record is from RNAcentral. Lineage: Eukaryota; Metazoa; Chordata; Aves; Galliformes; Phasianidae.